This 467-nucleotide ribosomal RNA is filed under the name uncultured bacterium. RNAcentral's name for it is "partial 16S ribosomal RNA". It matches the Rfam family "Bacterial small subunit ribosomal RNA", at positions 29 to 507 of the family's 1533-position model. The record is from RNAcentral.
ACGCACGCUGGCGGCGUGCUUCACACAUGCAAGUCGAACGGAAAGGCCCUGCUUUUGUGGGGUGCUCGAGUGGCGAACAGGUGAGUAACACGUGAGUAACCUGCCCUUGACUUUGGGAUAACUUCAGGAAACUGGGGCUAAUACCGGAUAGGAGCUCCUGCUGCAUGGUGGGGGUUGGAAAGUUUCGGCGGUUGGGGAUGGACUCGCGGCUUAUCAGCUUGUUGGUGGGGUAGUGGCUUACCAAGGCUUUGACGGGUAGCCGGCCUGAGAGGGUGACCGGCCACAUUGGGACUGAGAUACGGCCCAGACUCCUACGGGAGGCAGCAGUGGGGAAUAUUGCACAAUGGGCGGAAGCCUGAUGCAGCAACGCCGCGUGCGGGAUGACGGCCUUCGGGUUGUAAACCGCUUUCGCCUGUGACGAAGCGUGAGUGACGGUAAUGGGUAAAGAAGCACCGGCUAACUACGUG